UUCCGUAGGUGAACCUGCGGAAGGAUCAUUCGCACGCAUCCACAUAAGUUGAUCUGAAACUUGUUGGUGAGGUUCUGGGUGGUGGUGCAGCACAGCUGCAUCGCUCAUGUGGAAACUCGCGGGCGGCAAAUUGGGGUGGCGUUGUGCUGCUUUGAUCCUGCUGCUGUAGCUUCUGUGCGAUUGUGUGCAUGCUGGUGAUGUGGUGUAGUGUGCUCAUUUACAACCUUCAGCGAUGGAUGUCUCGGCUCAGACAACGAUGAAGGGCGCAGCGAAGUGUGAUGACCUUUGUGAAUUGCAGAAUUCCGUGAAUCAAUAGAGCUUUGAACGCGUGUUGUGCUGUCGGGAUAUACCUGCCAGCAUGCCUGAUUCAGUGCCUUAUUAUGUGACUUCUGGUGGCAUGCGCAUGCCGUUGUUGCGUCCAUGCAACCUGUGUGAAUGUGCAUGCCAGGGUGAUAUGCAUGCCCUUGAUAUGCUUAGUGAAUGCAAAGCGCUGCGUGCCAACAGCUACAUGAGCUAUCUGGUUGAUGCUGAUAGCCUGCUUGACGGCGGUGCGGAGCUUAUUGUGCUGUCCAACCCAUGGAGACAUGAAGGUAGGCUAGCAAACCUGCUGAAUUUAAGCAUAUCA
RNAcentral lists this ribosomal RNA (625 nucleotides) under uncultured eukaryote. RNAcentral's name for it is "eukaryotic LSU rRNA". The stretch from base 222 to 376 matches the Rfam family "5.8S ribosomal RNA". The record is from RNAcentral.